This 20-nucleotide non-coding RNA is filed under the name Arabidopsis thaliana (thale cress). Lineage: Eukaryota; Viridiplantae; Streptophyta; Magnoliopsida; Brassicales; Brassicaceae. The record is from RNAcentral.
UGGUCUUAAUUGGCCGGGUC